This 253-nucleotide ribosomal RNA is filed under the name uncultured bacterium. RNAcentral's name for it is "partial 16S ribosomal RNA". It matches the Rfam family "Bacterial small subunit ribosomal RNA", at positions 524 to 776 of the family's 1533-position model. The record is from RNAcentral.
UACGGGGGGUGCGAGCGUUGUCCGGAAUUACUGGGCGUAAAGGGCGCGUAGGCGGCCUUCUAAGUCGAACGUGAAAUCCCCGGGCUCAACCCGGGAACUGCGUCCGAUACUGGAAGGCUUGAAUCCGGGAGAGGGAUGCGGAAUUCCAGGUGUAGCGGUGAAAUGCGUAGAUAUCUGGAGGAACACCGGUGGCGAAGGCGGCAUCCUGGACCAACACUGACGCUGAGGAGCGAAAGCAUGGGGAGCGAACAGG